ACACGGGAUGCUUAGUACGGCGAGUGAAGCGGCAAAAGCUCAAAUUUGAAAUCUGGUACCUUCGGUGCCCGAGUUGUAAUUUGGAGAGGGCAACUUUGGGGCCGUUCCUUGUCUAUGUUCCUUGGAACAGGACGUCAUAGAGGGUGAGAAUCCCGUGUGGCGAGGAGUGCGGUUCUUUGUAAAGUGCCUUCGAAGAGUCGAGUUGUUUGGGAAUGCAGCUCUAAGUGGGUGGUAAAUUCCAUCUAAAGCUAAAUAUUGGCGAGAGACCGAUAGCGAACAAGUACAGUGAUGGAAAGAUGAAAAGAACUUUGAAAAGAGAGUGAAAAAGUACGUGAAAUUGUUGAAAGGGAAGGGCAUUUGAUCAGACAUGGUGUUUUGUGCCCUCUGCUCCUUGUGGGUAGGGGAAUCUCGCAUUUCACUGGGCCAGCAUCAGUUUUGGUGGCAGGAUAAAUCCAUAGGAAUGUAGCUUGCCUCGGUAAGUAUUAUAGCCUGUGGGAAUACUGCCAGCUGGGACUGAGGACUGCGACGUAAGUCAAGGAUGCUGGCAUAAUGGUUAUAUGCCGCCCGUCUGAA
Molecule: ribosomal RNA, 573 nt
Filed under: Saccharomyces cerevisiae (brewer's yeast)
Lineage: Eukaryota; Fungi; Ascomycota; Saccharomycetes; Saccharomycetales; Saccharomycetaceae
Description: eukaryotic LSU rRNA
Rfam family: Eukaryotic large subunit ribosomal RNA
Source: RNAcentral